Molecule: transfer RNA, 66 nt
Filed under: Sitona callosus
Lineage: Eukaryota; Metazoa; Arthropoda; Insecta; Coleoptera; Curculionidae
Description: tRNA-Arg
Source: RNAcentral
AAAUAAGAAGCAAAUAAUUGCAUUUAGUUUCGACCUAAAAAUUUGAUAUUUAAUUAUCCUUAUUUA